RNAcentral lists this small RNA (1164 nucleotides) under Pongo abelii (Sumatran orangutan). RNAcentral's name for it is "retained intron". The record is from RNAcentral. Lineage: Eukaryota; Metazoa; Chordata; Mammalia; Primates; Hominidae.
UUUAUUUUGUGAAUUUUUAAUCUAUUACUUAGCGAUCUUUCAGUGUAAUUGGCCUGAAGUGAAAACCACAGCCUCUGAUGGUGAACAGGCCACACGUGAGCCUGUGCUCAAAGCCAUGUUUUUGGCUGACACCCAUUUGCUUGGGGAAGUCCUAGGCCACUGGCUGGACAAAUUAAGAAGGGAAUGGCAGAUGGAGAGAGCCUUCCAGACAGCUCUGUGGUUGCUGCAGCCGGAAGUUGUCUUCAUCCUGGGGGAUAUCUUUGAUGAAGGGAAGUGGAGCACCCCUGAGGCCUGGGUGAAUGAUGUGGAGCGAUUUCAGAAAAUGUUCAGACACCCAAGUCAUGUACAGCUGAAGGUAGUUGCUGGAAACCAUGACAUUGGCUUCCAUUAUGAGAUGAACACAUACAAAGUAGAACGCUUUGAGAAAGUGUUCAGCUCUGAAAGACUGUUUUCUUGGAAAGGCAUUAACUUCGUGAUGGUCAACAGCGUGGCGCUGAACGGGGACGGCUGUGGCAUCUGCUCUGAAACAGAAGCAGAGCUCAUUGAAGUCUCUCACAGACUGAACUGCUCCCGAGAGGCACGUGGCUCCAGCCGGUGUGGACCCGGGCCUCUGCUGCCCAUGUCUGCCCCCGUCCUCCUGCAGGUGAGCUGGGGGAAGAAAGGGCUCAUGGCAGACAGCAGGCAGCCCGUGGUUUCACGAUAGCCGCCUGAACUCCUCUCUCCACCCCGGACAGCAUUAUCCUCUGUAUCGGAGAAGUGAUGCUAACUGUUCUGGGGAAGACGCUGCUCCUCCAGAGGAAAGGGACAUCCCAUUUAAGGAGAACUAUGACGUGCUUUCACGGGAGGCAUCACAAAAGCUGCUGCGGUGGUUCCAGCCGCGCCUGGUUCUCAGUGGCCACACGCACAGCGCCUGCGAGGUGCACCACGGGGGCCGAGUCCCCGAGCUCAGCGUCCCAUCUUUCAGUUGGAGGAACAGAAACAACCCCAGUUUCAUCAUGGGAACAGAUGCUUAGUUGAGCAUCAAGGGGCAGGAAGACACCCUUCCCUCCUUGUUCCUUGCUGACCGAUGACCCUGGAACUCCACGGUGCCUCUCUGAAUCUCUGUUAUGGAUCCCCCACUAUAUUUGAUGGGAACACAGUGGGCCAGGGGCCAGUUUGACAGGU